This is a non-coding RNA of Lolium perenne, 1169 nucleotides long. Lineage: Eukaryota; Viridiplantae; Streptophyta; Magnoliopsida; Poales; Poaceae. The record is from RefSeq and is a predicted model, not a curated record.
AGCUCGACCUGGCUCAGUCUCACUCCGUCCAGUCUCCGUCCACAUUGCUCACGCCACCGCCCACCGGAAUUCUGUUCCACCACCGCCGCCGUCCUGAAGCCGCGCGUGGCUUCUCUUCCACCAGAACCGACCUCUGGCCUCCGCGCCGUAGGUGACCAGCUCGACGACUCCGUUUCUUGGCGCGGCGCAGGAGAUCGGCCGCGAGCAUCGCCGGCGACCUGUGACCUGGGAUGGAGGGCGCGAGCGCAUCUGCGGCGCCGUUCGGGGGCGGAAGACGUGCGGCGGAGCAUGGGGAGGCGCGCGCGCGCGCGCCGGAGCAGGCCACUCGGAUUUCUUGCAUGGGUAUACGAUAUCAUGGGUGAUUUACCUUCUGGUUCUGAAGGAGUACCAAUGGAGGAUGAUGCUUUAUUCCAGUUGCAAGGAUGGCACAGUUCUGUUAGGACUUUCUCCAGCAGGCAGACUCCAUGUUCUAGUGAGGAACUCUAUCAAUCAUUAGGAUAGGAUGACAGAGUUGCAAGGAUGACACAGUUGUAUUUGUGUAACUCAUAAACCACAUCCUCUACAGAUUGAAGUGGAUAUCCCAGGUUGUAUCAGUCAGGAAUAAAGAGAGGCAAAGGAGAUUGUGUGCAUCAAAGGGAAAUCUAACACUCGGGGGCAUACAGUGCCCUACCUUUGUGCCUGCGCUGAGGCUCAUCUCUGCUAUGAAAGGAGGCCGCGAGAAAGACGGUAGCAUCGCCAACUGAAAACUGCCGUGUUAAGUGGGCCCCAGACUUAUAUGAUUUGGUAACAGUCUCUUAUGGAUCAUUCAGUGACGAGCCCCCAGCAGCAUCCGAGGUUUAGCAAAGACAAGGGAAGCGGAGGCAGUGGCCAAAAAAGCAUGGAAGCAGUUUCCUGCACGAGAGUGUAAUGGUGGUCUAGGGGAGGGUGUCAUAUUUUUUGUGAAUAUAGAUAAGACGGCUGUAGUAGUUUUUUUUUUUUACCUUAAGCUGUAGUAGAAUAUAACCCGCAGGCCUGUAGUAGGGUUCUGUAUGUAGCCUGCCUGUAUGUCAUGUUUGUUUGUAGGAACGACCGAACUGACGGUGUCUCCUAUCCUGCAACAUCAUGUUCGGACGAUUUGCCGUAUCUCUGUUAAGAACCAAUUGUAUACCAGCUGAAAAUUUAUUCUGCCU